This 397-nucleotide ribosomal RNA is filed under the name Apedinella sp. Its description in RNAcentral is "partial small subunit ribosomal RNA". It matches the Rfam family "Eukaryotic small subunit ribosomal RNA", at positions 583 to 975 of the family's 1831-position model. The record is from RNAcentral. Lineage: Eukaryota; Dictyochophyceae; Pedinellales.
UUCCAGCUCCAAUAGCGUAUAUUAAUGUUGUUGCAGUUAAAAAGCUCGUAGUUGGAUUUCUGGGUUCUUCGCUAGCUUUGGUCCGCAGGGGCUUCAGUGGGCUGUUUGAAUCCAUCCUCAGGGGGACCCAUGCUGGUAUUCAUUUAUCGGUGUGGGAACGCCUGUCGUUUACUGUGAACAAAUUAGAGUGUUCAAAGCAAGGUGUACUUGAAUACAUUAGCAUGGAAUAAUAAGAUAGGACUUUGGUGGUUCUUUUUGAUAUUUUGUUGGUUUGCACGCCAAGGUAAUGAUUAAUAGGAGCAGUUGGGGGUAUUCGUAUUCAAUUGUCAGAGGUGAAAUUCUUGGAUUUAUAGAAGACGAACUACUGCGAAAGCAUUUACCAAGGAUGUUUUCAUUA